AUAAAAAUAUUUUCUAUUUUUGUUACUUUACUUAUCCUUUUUUUCUCUCUUACUAAUUUUUGGGUUUUUCUUUUUGUAUGAUUUGAUCAGGAAUCAAAGAGAGCAUCUGGGACAAUCAAAAAGGGAACUGCUGGAAAAGGAAUACUGUCGAGGUUUGCCUAAAUUUUUUUUUUCAAAAUUGCUGGGGAAAUUCCCUUUGGUAACCUCUAAACCUUUCUUAUUUAAAUUUCCUUUUGUGGUGAUUGUUUGAUUUUAAAUUCAGCAAAAGUGUGAAUGCAUGCUUGAUACACAUACACCAAUUAAUCCGCACAUAGUAAGGGCAAUUAUCCCUACAAGAUAAGAACUGGAUUUCAUCACCAGAUUCUUGCCCAAAUUAGGUGAACCAAUUCUCACAUAGCCAUCACGUUAAUUAAAAUCAAUUAGACGUUGGCCCCUAGGGACAUUCGAGCUCAAUAGGAAGAAGAUCACCGAAAGUUGCACCAAUUUCGCUCUGUGGCUCAGUUG
RNAcentral lists this long non-coding RNA (504 nucleotides) under Phoenix dactylifera (date palm). Its description in RNAcentral is "long non-coding RNA (PDAC_LNC018671)". Lineage: Eukaryota; Viridiplantae; Streptophyta; Magnoliopsida; Arecales; Arecaceae. The record is from RNAcentral.